UACGUAGGGCGCAAGCGUUGUCCGGAAUCAUUGGGCGUAAAGAGCUCGUAGGCGGCCUGUUGCGUCCGCUGUGAAAUCCCGGGGCUUAACCCCGGGCGUGCAGUGGAUACGGGCUGGCUGGAGGCAGGCAGGGGAGAACGGAAUUCCUGGUGUAGCGGUGAAAUGCGCAGAUAUCGGGAGGAACACCGGUGGCGAAGGCGGUUCUCUGGGCCUGUACUGACGCUGAGGAGCGAAAGCGUGGGGAGCGAACAGG
Molecule: ribosomal RNA, 253 nt
Filed under: uncultured bacterium
Lineage: Bacteria
Description: partial 16S ribosomal RNA
Rfam family: Bacterial small subunit ribosomal RNA
Source: RNAcentral